UAAGGUUAAGUUAAUAAGGGCGCACGGUGGAUGCCUUGGCACUAGGAGCCGAAGAAGGACGUGACAAACGACGAUAUGCCUUGGGUAGCUGUAAGUAAGCGAUGAUCCAGGGAUUUCCGAAUGGGGGAACCCAACAGGUACUACCUGUUACCCACAUCUGUUAAGGAUGUGAGGAGGAAGACGCAGUGAACUGAAACAUCUAAGUAGCUGCAGGAAGAGAAAGCAAAAGCGAUUGCCUUAGUAGCGGCGAGCGAAACGGCAGGAGGGCAAACCGAAGAGUUUACUCUUCGGGGUUGUAGGACUGCAAUGUGGACUCAAAGAUUAUAGAAGAAUGAUUUGGGAAGAUCAGCCAAAGAGAGUAAUAGCCUCGUAUUUAAAAUAGUCUUUGUACCUAGCAGUAUCCUGAGUACGGCGGGACACGUGAAAUCCCGUCGGAAUCUGGGAGGACCAUCUCCCAACCCUAAAUACUCCCUAGUGACCGAUAGUGAACCAGUACCGUGAGGGAAAGGUGAAAAGCACCCCGGGAGGGGAGUGAAAUAGAACCUGAAACCGUGUGCCUACAACAAGUUCGAGCCCGUUAAUGGGUGAGAGCGUGCCUUUUGUAGAAUGAACCGGCGAGUUACGUUAUGAUGCGAGGUUAAGUUGAAGAGACGGAGCCGUAGGGAAACCGAGUCUGAAUAGGGCGAAUUAGUAUCAUGACGUAGACCCGAAACCAUGUGACCUACCCAUGAGCAGGUUGAAGGUGCGGUAAGACGCACUGGAGGACCGAACCAGGGCACGUUGAAAAGUGCUUGGAUGACUUGUGGGUAGCGGAGAAAUUCCAAACGAACUUGGAGAUAGCUGGUUCUCUCCGAAAUAGCUUUAGGGCUAGCGUCGACAUAAAGAUUCUUGGAGGUAGAGCACUGUUUGGGUGAGGGGUCCAUCCCGGAUUACCAAUCUCAGAUAAACUCCGAAUGCCAAUGAAUUAUGGUCGGCAGUCAGACUGCGAGUGCUAAGAUCCGUAGUCGAA
RNAcentral lists this ribosomal RNA (1009 nucleotides) under Streptococcus mitis. RNAcentral describes it as "partial 23S ribosomal RNA". It matches the Rfam family "Bacterial large subunit ribosomal RNA", at positions 1 to 1015 of the family's 2925-position model. The record is from RNAcentral. Lineage: Bacteria; Bacillati; Bacillota; Bacilli; Lactobacillales; Streptococcaceae.